This 730-nucleotide ribosomal RNA is filed under the name uncultured bacterium. RNAcentral describes it as "bacterial SSU rRNA". It matches the Rfam family "Bacterial small subunit ribosomal RNA", at positions 771 to 1501 of the family's 1533-position model. The record is from RNAcentral.
AACAGGAUUAGAUACCCUGGUAGUCCACGCCGUAAACGAUGUCGACUUGGAGGUUGUUCCCUUGAGGAGUGGCUUCCGGAGCUAACGCGUUAAGUCGACCGCCUGGGGAGUACGGCCGCAAGGUUAUAACUCAAAUGAAUUGACGGGGGCCCGCACAAGCGGUGGAGCAUGUGGUUUAGUUCGAUGCAACGCGAAGAACCUUACCUACUCUUGACAUCCACGGAAUUCGGCAGAGAUGCCUUAAUGCCUUCGGGAACCGUGAGACAGGUGCUGCAUGGCUGUCGUCAGCUCGUGUUGUGAAAUGUUGGGUUAAGUCCCGCAACGAGCGCAACCCUUAUCCUUUGUUGCCAGCGAUUCGGUCGGGAACUCAAAGGAGACUGCCGGUGAUAAACCGGAGGAAGGUGGGGAUGACGUCAAGUCAUCAUGGCCCUUACGAGUAGGGCUACACACGUGCUACAAUGGCGCAUACAAAGAGAAGCGACCUCGCGAGAGCAAGCGGACCUCAUAAAGUGCGUCGUAGUCCGGAUCGGAGUCUGCAACUCGACUCCGUGAAGUCGGAAUCGCUAGUAAUCGUGGAUCAGAAUGCCACGGUGAAUACGUUCCCGGGCCUUGUACACACCGCCCGUCACACCAUGGGAGUGGGUUGCAAAAGAAGUAGGUAGCUUAACCUCCGGGAGGGCGCUUACCACUUUGUGAUUCAUGACUGGGGUGAAGUCGUAACAAGGUAACC